UGGGGGAUAUUGCACAAUGGGCGAAAGCCUGAUGCAGCGACGCCGCGUGGGGGAUGAAGGCUUUCGGGUUGUAAACCUCUUUCGCUAUCGAACAAGGCCCGCUUAGGGUGGGUUGAGGGUAGGUGGAGAAGAAGCGCCGGCUAACUACGUGCCAGCAGCCGCGGUAAUACGUAGGGCGCGAGCGUUGUCCGGAAUUAUUGGGCGUAAAGGGCUUGUAGGCGGCUUGUUGCGCCUGCUGUGAAAACGCGGGGCUUAACUUCGCGCGUGCAGUGGGUACGGGCAGGCUUGAGUGUGGUAGGGGUGACUGGAAUUCCAGGUGUAGCGGUGGAAUGCGCAGAUUUCUGGAGGAACACCGAUGGCGAAGGCAGGUCACUGGGCCAUUACUGACGCUGAGGAGCGAAAGCAUGGGUAGCGAACAGG
Molecule: ribosomal RNA, 420 nt
Filed under: bacterium
Lineage: Bacteria
Description: partial 16S ribosomal RNA
Rfam family: Bacterial small subunit ribosomal RNA
Source: RNAcentral